This 481-nucleotide ribosomal RNA is filed under the name uncultured bacterium. Its description in RNAcentral is "bacterial SSU rRNA". It matches the Rfam family "Bacterial small subunit ribosomal RNA", at positions 329 to 806 of the family's 1533-position model. The record is from RNAcentral.
AUCGUAACUCCUACGGGAGGCAGCAGUGGGGAAUUUUGGACAAUGGGGGCAACCCUGAUCCAGCAAUGCCGCGUGAGUGAAGAAGGCCUUCGGGUUGUAAAGCUCUUUUGUCAGGGAAGAAACGGUAGUAGCUAAUAUCUAUUACUAAUGACGGUACCUGAAGAAUAAGCACCGGCUAACUACGUGCCAGCAGCCGCGGGAAUACGUAGGGUGCAAGCGUUAAUCGGAAUUACUGGGCGUAAAGCGUGCGCAGGCGGUUGUGUAAGUCAGAUGUGAAAUCCCCGGGCUCAACCUGGGAAUUGCAUUUGAGACUGCACGGCUAGAGAGUGUCAGAGGGGAGUAGAAUUCCACGUGUAGCAGUGAAAUGCGCAGAUAUGUGGAGGAAUACCGAUGGCGAAGGCAGCCCCCUGGGAAAACACUGACGCUCAUGCACGAAAGAGUGGGAAGAAAACAGGAUUAGAAACCCUUGUAGUCCUAGAGC